This 528-nucleotide long non-coding RNA is filed under the name Mytilus galloprovincialis (Mediterranean mussel). The record is from RNAcentral. Lineage: Eukaryota; Metazoa; Mollusca; Bivalvia; Mytilida; Mytilidae.
UUUGUAGUUCCCUUCGGUGACUUAUGGAAGCUUGACUACCGGACAUUUGAGAACUCCUUUAGAGCCCAGCUAUAGGUGUGCAGUGCACUUCGGCGACUUAUGGAAGCUUGACUACCGGACAUUUGAGAACUCCUCCAUAGUCCAGCUAUAGGUUUUCAGUGCCCUUCGGCGACUUAUGGAAGCUUCACUGGCCACAGACCACAAUUAAUUUCUCUGUCAGUUCUUUAUAACGUUUUGCAUCAAUAAAAAAAUUGCACCAUGCACUUUUGUCAAAUUUUUUGUGUGUGUAAUGUAUAGUCCAAGUCCAAAUAUAUAUCCAAAAUUCAGAAAGAUUGAAGCAAUCACUUUUACAAAUUUAGCCAAUACACAUCCAUACCCCUAUUGACAAGUCAAGAGAUGUUCCGAAAACUGUAAAUAUUACCUUUUUGCACUUGGCCUAAUCACUCAUUUCAAUUAUAAAAAUCAAUUUAAAUACAACAUCCAAAAAUUUAUUUCACCUCUCUUCUUUCAUUUCCACCCAAAAAAAAA